Molecule: transfer RNA, 36 nt
Filed under: Calliobdella nodulifera
Lineage: Eukaryota; Metazoa; Annelida; Clitellata; Hirudinida; Piscicolidae
Description: partial tRNA-Leu
Source: RNAcentral
UUUAAAAUCUAAAAAUGAUAUAAUUAUCUUAUAUAA